Zea mays is the source of this 480-nucleotide long non-coding RNA. RefSeq lists it as uncharacterized. Lineage: Eukaryota; Viridiplantae; Streptophyta; Magnoliopsida; Poales; Poaceae. The transcript is spliced from 3 exons. The record is from RefSeq and is a predicted model, not a curated record.
AAGAAAGGUGUAAUUGUUGUGAAUAAUGCUCGAGGAGCAAUCAUGGAUGCUCAAGCAGUCGCAGAUGCAUGUUCUAGCGGUCACAUUGCUGGAUAUGGUGGUGAUGUGUGGUUCCCACAGCCAGCACCAAAGGAUCGGAUCACCCCUGGCGCUACAUGCCUAACCAUGCCAUGACCCCUCACAUCUCUGGGACUACAAUUGAUGCGCAGCUGCGGUAUGCGGAUGGUGUGAGGGACAUGCUGGAUAGGUAUUUCAAGGGCGAGGACUUCCCGGUGCAGAACUACAUCGUCAAGGAAGGCCAGCUCGCCAGUCAGUACCAGUGACCGCGCGAGAUGUUGCUGUGCUGUGUAGGCUUUUCUGGUGAGAAGCUGCGAGGAAGAAACUCCUGUUGCGUACUUGCGUUACUGUAUGAGUAGCUCUGAGAAAUCUGUCAGCGGCCACCUGUAAUAAAAGAAUGCCUUGCUGGUAUCUCACCGUGGA